GACGAACGCUGGCGGCGUGCUUAACACAUGCAAGUCGAACGGUGAAGCUCCAGCUUGCUGGAGUGGAUCAGUGGCGAACGGGUGAGUAACACGUGAGCAACCUGCCCCUGACUCUGGAAUAAGCGCUGGAAACGGCGUCUAAUACUGGAUACGAAAAGGGUCCGCAUGGGCACUUUCUGGAAAGUUUUUCGGUUGGGGAUGGGCUCGCGGCCUAUCAGCUUGUUGGUGAGGUAAUGGCUCACCAAGGCGACGACGGGUAGCCGGCCUGAGAGGGCGACCGGCCACACUGGGACUGAGACACGGCCCAGACUCCUACGGGAGGCAGCAGUGGGGAAUAUUGCACAAUGGGCGAAAGCCUGAUGCAGCGACGCCGCGUGAGGGAUGACGGCCUUCGGGUUGUAAACCUCUGUCAGCAGGGAAGAAGCGAAAGUGACGGUACCUGCAGAAGAAGCACCGGCUAACUACGUG
Molecule: ribosomal RNA, 468 nt
Filed under: uncultured bacterium
Lineage: Bacteria
Description: partial 16S ribosomal RNA
Rfam family: Bacterial small subunit ribosomal RNA
Source: RNAcentral